GAUGAACGCUGGCGGCGUGCCUAAUACAUGCAAGUCGAGCGAACAGACGAGGAGCUUGCUCCUCUGACGUUAGCGGCGGACGGGUGAGUAACACGUGGAUAACCUACCUAUAAGACUGGGAUAACUUCGGGAAACCGGAGCUAAUACCGGAUAAUAUAUUGACCCGCAUGGUUCAAUAGUGAAAGACGGUUUUGCUGUCACUUAUAGAUGGAUCCGCGCCGCAUUAGCUAGUUGGUAAGGUAACGGCUUACCAAGGCAACGAUGCGUAGCCGACCUGAGAGGGUGAUCGGCCACCCUGGAACUGAGACACGGUCCAGACUCCUACGGGAGGCAGCAGUAGGGAAUCUUCCGCAAUGGGCGAAAGCCUGACGGAGCAACGCCGCGUGAGUGAUGAAGGUCUUCGGAUCGUAAAACUCUGUUAUUAGGGAAGAACAAAUGUGUAAGUAACUAUGCACGUCUUGACGGUACCUAAUCAGAAAGCCACGGCUAACUACGUG
This 497-nucleotide ribosomal RNA is filed under the name uncultured bacterium. Its description in RNAcentral is "partial 16S ribosomal RNA". It matches the Rfam family "Bacterial small subunit ribosomal RNA", at positions 28 to 507 of the family's 1533-position model. The record is from RNAcentral.